CAUUCCUCACCUUCGUAACCCGUCGGAGGUCGGCCUAGAACCGAUAUACUCAGCUCGAGACCGAGAACAUGCUUCUCAAUGAACCGCCACAGCCUGCGAAGAAAGAAGAAAUGAAGUUAGAAAAGAAUAGCAAACAUAAAAGUAAUAUCAACGAAGAGAGUUAAAGCUUACCCGAUUCAGAGCUUGCUGCACUUCGGAAAAAGCAGGGAGAGUGGGCGAGUCUCCGAUUACUAUUACCCCAAGCGACUUGCUUGGGGCGUUCUCCUUAGUUCGGAGAGCUUCAGGACC
RNAcentral lists this long non-coding RNA (288 nucleotides) under Nicotiana tabacum (common tobacco). Its description in RNAcentral is "long non-coding RNA (NTAB_LNC008054)". The record is from RNAcentral. Lineage: Eukaryota; Viridiplantae; Streptophyta; Magnoliopsida; Solanales; Solanaceae.